AGGGUGGGUGUCGAUGGGCGGCUUCAUCCAGUCUUGAAAACUGUCGUGGCUUCGCGCCACCGUGGGUUCAAAUCCCACACCCUCCG
This 86-nucleotide transfer RNA is filed under the name Kitasatospora sp. NA04385. Its description in RNAcentral is "tRNA-Ser". Lineage: Bacteria; Bacillati; Actinomycetota; Actinomycetes; Kitasatosporales; Streptomycetaceae. The record is from RNAcentral.